This 467-nucleotide ribosomal RNA is filed under the name uncultured bacterium. RNAcentral describes it as "partial 16S ribosomal RNA". It matches the Rfam family "Bacterial small subunit ribosomal RNA", at positions 28 to 506 of the family's 1533-position model. The record is from RNAcentral.
GACGAACGCUGGCGGCGUGCUUAACACAUGCAAGUCGAACGGAAAGGCCCUGCUUUUGUGGGGUGCUCGAGUGGCGAACGGGUGAGUAACACGUGAGUAACCUGCCCUUGACUUUGGGAUAACUUCAGGAAACUGGGGCUAAUACCGGAUAGGAGCUCCUGCUGCAUGGUGGGGGUUGGAAAGUUUCGGCGGUUGGGGAUGGACUCGCGGCUUAUCAGCUUGUUGGUGGGGUAGUGGCUUACCAAGGCUUUGACGGGUAGCCGGCCUGAGAGGGUGACCGGCCACAUUGGGACUGAGAUACGGCCCAGACUCCUACGGGAGGGAGGAGUGGGGAAUAUUGCACAAUGGGCGGAAGCCUGAUGCAGCAACGCCGCGUGCGGGAUGACGGCCUUCGGGUUGUAAACCGCUUUCGCCUGUGACGAAGCGUGGGUGACGGUAAUGGGUAAAGAAGCACCGGCUAACUACGU